AUUCAGACAAAGAAAACAAAGAAAGGGAUAUCGAAGGAAAAGGUAUUACAACACAAUGCUAUCCUCUAGCCAGCCUAGCAGCACUGGCCUAUUCCUGGAGACAUCCCCAAAUCAGCAAUGAACAAGUAAGAUGUAACACGGCAAUGUUCUAAAGCAGCAUUGCCAAGCAAACAACAUAUACCAAGUUACUGUAGAUGCAUCACAGGGAUUUCCUCCAGCAGUGGUGUCCCAUUCCUUAUGCCAUUACUAGGUCAGCAAUUGGCAAUCAAAGUAUAACACAGAGAGGCUGAUUGGCCACUACUAGUGCCAUCAACGGGCAGAAAGCUGAACACAAUACAGAGAAAAGCCUUCUCCAUCUAACAGUCUUAAGGCCUAGUCUGAGGUUUCUUCUAAAAGAAAAUCAUCCACAAGUCAGAAAAUGAAACACCAAAGGUAAAAGAUUAC
Molecule: long non-coding RNA, 444 nt
Organism: Rana temporaria (common frog)
Lineage: Eukaryota; Metazoa; Chordata; Amphibia; Anura; Ranidae
Exons: 4
Source: RefSeq, a predicted model, not a curated record